ACCAGGAUGGCCGAGUGGUUAAGGCGUUGGACUUAAGUUCCAAUGUACAAAUGUACGCGUGGGUUCGAACCCCACUCCUGGUA
Molecule: non-coding RNA, 83 nt
Organism: Nematostella vectensis (starlet sea anemone)
Lineage: Eukaryota; Metazoa; Cnidaria; Anthozoa; Actiniaria; Edwardsiidae
Source: Rfam